ACAGCCAUCGCCAUUUUCACCUCUACUAUCCGUUUCUCAAUCGACCCUCUCUCUAUUUCCCCUUUUUCCUCUCUCAAUCGACCAUCUCUCUUUGUUUCCCCUUUCUCAAUCCACCUCUACUCCUCUAGGAUCUUCGAUACAGAUCUGGGGUUUUCUCUCGAGCAAUUAGCAGAUUAUCUACGACCACAUCUAGUCAUAAGUAAUUAUGUUCAAGGACUGUCGAAGGACCCAUCCCUGUUUGGUUGAUCCCUUCUAGCGUUCCCAAGGUCCUGUUUGGAUACACUUCUUCAAAGGGGAGUUUCUGGAAAGGGACAUUUCAAGUCUGCUUCUUUGGUCUGACUUGGCGACAACCAAUUGGAUUGGUUUUUGCUAGGUUAGCAUUUUAGCUCAUAUUUUGUGGAGUGGGGGAUGA
Molecule: long non-coding RNA, 412 nt
Organism: Magnolia sinica
Lineage: Eukaryota; Viridiplantae; Streptophyta; Magnoliopsida; Magnoliales; Magnoliaceae
Exons: 3
Source: RefSeq, a predicted model, not a curated record